UGCAAAGGAGCAGACCGCGAAUACUGUGGGCAUGCAGGCCCAUAGUCCCUGGGGGCACUGACCUACGAGUGGGGUUGAGACGUGGGUGAGAGUGCAGAUGAGUGGGUGAGGCCAUAUGGAUCUUUGCAGAAAUAGUCCUGGGCUGGGUGUGGCUUUGCGAUCCAGUUUGAACCAGGAGCCAAGCAGCAUUCCUUCUGUCCUUUGGGUCCGUGGCUCCCGUAUGUUGUGAACCCAGAUGUCACUGGCUCUGUUCUACCGUGCCUGGUGUGAUCUCUGUUCUGGGGUUGCUGUCUGCAUGUUGAGAGAGGGGCCUGGUUGAUCUUGGUGUCUGUUUCACCUCUCCAGAGCAAGAGGAGGCAGUGGAGGAGGAGGAUGGUGAGGCCGAGCCUGAUCCCGAGGGUGAGGCAGAGGCAGAGGAGGACAAGGCAGAAGAGGUUGGUCCUGAUGAAGAAGCCAGAGAUGCUGAAGGUAAGUGAUGCUGGGCAUCAGCACGAGAGAACCCCUCAGAGUAGACUUGGGUAAAACCACCCAGGGAUUCCGGUAUAACCAGAAGUUAUACAGGUAAGGGUUGGAAGGCAGAACUUGGGGGUACGUGCAGGGCUUGGGGAACUCUAAACCCUUGUCUUCUUCAUCUCAGAGAAAUGGCCUUAGUGUCCAACAGGAGAGGGAACCAGUGUCUAGUCCCUGGCGUGUGCAGGGUAGUGCUCUUAGAAGUA
Molecule: long non-coding RNA, 716 nt
Filed under: Rattus norvegicus (Norway rat)
Lineage: Eukaryota; Metazoa; Chordata; Mammalia; Rodentia; Muridae
Description: long non-coding RNA NONRATT008256
Source: RNAcentral